GACCCAGGAAUACUUGGGCGUGCCUCCACCCACGCCGGCGUCGGCGGGCGUAUUUCGCCUCACAGUAGGUCGCCGCGACCCGUUGCUUUUGGGGACGUCGAAGGCCCGGACGGAUUGGUACCCUACCGGCUGGGGAUGCGGCUUCGGCUUCUCCUCUUGUCCGGUGGGCGAAACCGCCGGUGUCCUGGCUGCCCUGCGACGGUCGUAGAGACGAGCCCCUCCCAUUCGUGGGGGGCGGCUCUCGCGGCGUGCAAAAGGUCGGUGAUCCACCCGACCCGUCUUGAAACACGGACCAAGGAGUCUAACAUGUGUGCGAGUCAGUGGGCGCACUAAACCCAGAGGCGUAAUGAAAGUGACACGGGUUCGGCUGUCGCCUCGUGUGGCAGCCGGACUCAGGGCCGAUCCCUCACCGGUUGCCCUCGCCUCUCUCUCCCGCGUCUCGGUAAGCCGGGUGAGCUAUUUUCCCCGGCCGCUGCUGCGGGGCGCGGGGGGUGGCGGGGUGCGAUGGUGUCCGUAAAAAAGAGCCUGCUGUUGCAGGGGGGCGCAGGCCCGGGACUUGCCAGGACGCCGCGAGACUGUCACUUUGCUGUGAGGCUCCAGGGCCGAUCAGCGGGUCAUGCGUGCAGUCGGCAAGUACCAUGAGCAGACAUGUUGGGACCCGAAAGAUGGUGAACUAUGCCUGGCCAGGAUGAAGCCAGAGGAAACUCUGGUGGAGGUC
This 718-nucleotide ribosomal RNA is filed under the name Procambarus lepidodactylus. RNAcentral's name for it is "partial 28S ribosomal RNA". The stretch from base 292 to 718 matches the Rfam family "Eukaryotic large subunit ribosomal RNA", at positions 665 to 875 of the family's 3401-position model. The record is from RNAcentral. Lineage: Eukaryota; Metazoa; Arthropoda; Malacostraca; Decapoda; Cambaridae.